Archocentrus centrarchus (flier cichlid) is the source of this 238-nucleotide long non-coding RNA. RefSeq lists it as uncharacterized. The transcript has 3 exons. The record is from RefSeq and is a predicted model, not a curated record. NCBI's taxonomy places the organism in Eukaryota, Metazoa, Chordata, Actinopteri, Cichliformes, Cichlidae.
CCGUGAGGAGUUAAAGCAGCUCUGAAGGCCGAUGCAGCGACAGUCACACACAUGAACACCUCAAACCUCGCUGCCAUCAACACGCCUUCAGAAAUAUUAAGGCUCUCUCUGCAGCGGGGUGGCAUACGAACCCUCACGGGUGAUACUGACGCGCACAAACUCGGCAGAUUGGACGAGCGGCAGGACGAAGGUUCGAGGCGCUGAGCACGGGGUUAACCAGCCGUGAACAGGACACAGG